RNAcentral lists this small nuclear RNA (23 nucleotides) under Arabidopsis thaliana (thale cress). RNAcentral's name for it is "snRNA_16397". The record is from RNAcentral. Lineage: Eukaryota; Viridiplantae; Streptophyta; Magnoliopsida; Brassicales; Brassicaceae.
CAAUUAAACGAGGUUAAAUGUCG